This is a long non-coding RNA of Ictalurus punctatus (channel catfish), 897 nucleotides long. Lineage: Eukaryota; Metazoa; Chordata; Actinopteri; Siluriformes; Ictaluridae. The record is from Ensembl.
CGUAGAUCAGACGCCCUUUCCGUAUCCGCGAUGUACAGAUGGGAAACGACUUAAUUAUGGAGAAGGGGAUCCUGGGUGUUGCGCAAUGUCAUGGGAGAGCAUACGGCAGAGGAAACCCUGGACAAGGUGCCAACCCGUCGCAGGACGCUUUAGAGAUGCCAAUCAGCCUACACCAUGUCUCUGGACAGGGGGAGGAAACCGGAGUACCUGGAGGAAACUCCGGAUGCACAGGGAGCAUGCAAACUCCAUCAUUUUUGAGAACAAGCGGCGUGUGCUGCAAGUGGCGGUGGAGGAGAUGAUUGUUUUGCUACACCUGUCCAAACGGAUAAAACUCUGUGUGUGGCUUCUGUGGAGCAGUGAGAGAUCUGCCUGCUGGAGAUGAAAGAGGAGAUGCAGGUAAGCUGUAACAUUUGUAUCUGUGUUUGGAUUUAAAUCCAAAGUGGGCAUCAGUGUAUGAAUAUGAUCUUCAUAGAAUUUGACCACCACCCUGAUCAGGGUGACUAGAUGGAUGGAUGAAUAAAGGAUUGGAUGGAUGGAUGGAUGAUUGAAUGAACGAACACGGUAAAUAGAGCCUUCAUUUGCAAGUACAAUCCACUUUGGUUGCCAUGAAAACUGAAUGCAAUCCUCAUGGCAGAAAGAAGGGAAAAGCUCAGAGAACUUGAGCUGAAGUUCAUGGUUGCCUUUAUGUUCCACUAAAAGGUUGAGCUCGAGAGGGUUUAAGAAAGAAAGCAGCUUUUCACUGAAACUUGAGCUAGCAAUCAGAAAAAGGCUGCAAAUGGCAUGAUUUACAUACAGUCAGGAACAAUAUUUUCCUCCAACUUAACCUACUUUAAUGCGAUGAUUUUGUUGACGGAGGAAAAUUCCGAGAAAUUUCAUUUUCUAACACCUACUCAGUAA